AAUUCGUGGUGUGGGCACUUCUGAAUUAACAUCUUAAAAUGCUCCCAUGCUUCGUGAAAGCUUUCUCCUUCUAAUUGUUUAAACAUCAAAAUUUCCCUUUUUAGCU
This 106-nucleotide small nucleolar RNA is filed under the name Gossypium hirsutum (cotton). RNAcentral's name for it is "Plant small nucleolar RNA R71". It matches the Rfam family "Plant small nucleolar RNA R71". From Rfam's summary of the family: R71 is a member of the C/D box family of snoRNAs containing the C (UGAUGA) and D (CUGA) box motifs. Multiple nearly identical copies of this snoRNA have been identified in Arabidopsis, and it is thought to function as a 2'-O-ribose methylation guide for 18S ribosomal RNA. The record is from Rfam by way of RNAcentral. Lineage: Eukaryota; Viridiplantae; Streptophyta; Magnoliopsida; Malvales; Malvaceae.